Molecule: long non-coding RNA, 1570 nt
Organism: Gallus gallus (chicken)
Lineage: Eukaryota; Metazoa; Chordata; Aves; Galliformes; Phasianidae
Source: Ensembl
UCUCUUGUAUUCUAGGAAGUAGUGAAUGAGGACGGGGAAAGGUUUGCUGGCACACAGAGGAAAAUCACACCGUUUCAGGCAAGGCAGAACAAACAAUGGUUCUCACCGAUGCUGUGUGCUGUUUGGAAGUGAACGUGAUCACGGAGUGAGGGAAGGGCUGUGCUGGAGCCUUACUACACACUGGAGAAACCACACAGGGCUGAGCUGUUUUGAACGCCCCGUGUCUGACGAACUCUCCAGUUGCAGCUCAGUAGGACAGCCUGCUCUGCAGGCAGGGCUUGGCCUCUUCUGGAUGCGACGCCUCGAGGGCACCCAGGCAGAAGGGAAAGACCGCAUGGGGACGGACGGUGCACCUCUGCUCUGAGCGGUGCUGUGCUGGAAUACAGGAGAAAAACCUCCAGGAUCUCUGACUUAGGGGCUCUGAUGGGGAGAAGUCCAAUCGCUGACCUCCCGCAGAGGCUGUCUGAUAAGCUUGUCUGUCCCUCAUACCUACCCAGGCGCUUUGCUGACAGCACACGAUGCUCUUAGAGGAAUUCUCCAGAACUUCUGCCCGCGGCCAUAAAUGCGGUUACCUGUUGAUCCCUUUCCCCUCCGCAGCACAGAAAGGCGAGCUGCCUCGUCCUAUGGGAGCUGGUUUGGUGCCUUGGAAAGGAGCUGUGGCUGCAGGUGUUGCGUGGAAGACGAUUUAGGGAGGACAGCAUUAGGGUUUGCAGCAGAGAUGGGGCUCUGUGAUGCAUACCCCAACCCUCUUGGGAAGGCACAAGAGGAUGGAUGGUGUAACCUCAGCUCAUCGCUGAAGUAACCACCCACAGCUCCGACUGUGUUGGAGAAAACAUUGGUGUUUGGAAUACGUUCUCCAGGUGUCCAGGAGCCUUCAGCCUCCCGGGGUCCCCACCAAAGUGACCCCCACCUCCUCCAGAACACACAGAUGGGGCACAGAGCAGCGGAUUCAGCAGUGCAGCAUCUGGUUUCUGUUCGGUGCUCUGAGAUCACGAACCGCCCCAUCCAAAGCUCAUCCCGUAGGUGCAGCCAUGGGUGCUGGGAUCCCUUCCUGGGUCCGACAGCCCCCGGAGCAUCUCCUCCCUCCACCCCAAAUCAAACGGAACCAAUGGAAUGCAUACAUCCUUUCCAACCAUGCUAACCGCAAUGGUACUAAUUAGCACUCCGCUAAAUGGCCGUGAUUAGUUUAGCAGCUGAUGGAAUAUUUAAUCUAGAAUGUCUCUCUAUUUUGGGGGGGGGGGAAGAAAAAAGCAAACCGAAAAAGCGGGUCGUUUAUUUAUUUCUCUAACAAAUUCCUGCUGCUGGCCAUGCUGAAAACGUGAAUCACGCAGCGGGAGCUGAGACUGGAGUGGCUCUUCUACCGAAGGGAAAAAAAAAAAAAAAGAAAAAGAAAAAGAAAAGCAGAUUAAAGUGCAGGAAACGCAGCUUGUGAGAUGAGGCAGGCGCCUCGCAAAGCCAUUUGCAACACAAAGUUAACGAAUAACGCCGGGCUCGGAGCACGAUAAAUGAACGAGCGCAAAAUAGCAGAGCUUCCCCCUCCAUCGUGCUGAUGGAGCGGUGGUUCCCCCCA